UCAACCCUCGUUCUGUCUUUCAGGGA
This 26-nucleotide non-coding RNA is filed under the name Rattus norvegicus (Norway rat). Lineage: Eukaryota; Metazoa; Chordata; Mammalia; Rodentia; Muridae. The record is from RNAcentral.